RNAcentral lists this ribosomal RNA (292 nucleotides) under uncultured microorganism. RNAcentral's name for it is "partial 16S ribosomal RNA". It matches the Rfam family "Bacterial small subunit ribosomal RNA", at positions 505 to 796 of the family's 1533-position model. The record is from RNAcentral.
GUGCCAGCAGCCGCGGUGAUACGUAGGGUGCGAGCGUUGUCCGGAAUUAUUGGGCGUAAAGAGCUUGUAGGCGGUUGAUUGCGUCAGAAGUGAAAUCUCAGGGCUUAACUCUGAGCGUGCUUCUGAUACGGGUUGACUAGAGGGAAGUAGGGGAGAACGGAAUUCCUGGUGGAGCGGUGGAAUGCGCAGAUAUCAGGAGGAACACCGGUGGCGAAGGCGGUUCUCUGGACUUUUCCUGACGCUGAGAAGCGAAAGCGUGGGGAGCAAACAGGCUUAGAUACCCUGGUAGUCC